Molecule: ribosomal RNA, 380 nt
Filed under: Hyperolius lamottei (Ivory Coast reed frog)
Lineage: Eukaryota; Metazoa; Chordata; Amphibia; Anura; Hyperoliidae
Description: partial 12S ribosomal RNA
Rfam family: Bacterial small subunit ribosomal RNA
Source: RNAcentral
AUUACACUAAAACCGCCAAAGAACUACGAGCGCAAGCUUAAAACUUAAAGGACUUGACGGUGUCCCAUCUACCUAGAGGAGCCUGUUCUAUAAUCGAUAAUCCUCGUUACACCUUACCUUUUUUAGCUAAUCAGUCUGUAUACUUCCGUCGUAAGCUUACCAUAUGAAUGCAUUAGUAAGUUAAAUAGUAAUAACAUUACCAAAACGUCAGGUCAAAGUGCAGCCUACAAAAAGGAAGAAAUGGGCUACAAUUUCUAUAUAAGAACAAACGAAUUUAAGUAAUUGAAAACUACUAUGAAGGCGGAUUUAGAAGUAAAGCGAAAAUAAAGUGUUCGCUUUAACAAUGCUCUGGGACGUGUACACACCGCCCGUCACCCUCA